UUUAGCCUAUCCAAGGUUAAGAAGGGGGAAAAAACCCGUGGUGAAUUAUCAGAAGAACAGACUAAAAGUUACCAGACCACACCGAAGGCUGAUUUAUUUCCAUCAGACUUUACGAACAUGUUUCUGGACUGUGGGAGAACAAUACAAACUCCACAGUAGGACCCAACAAACACUGUUCAUCUGCUGUAGCACCUCACAUUAAGAGGCCCUUAACAACUUGUUACUGUAAUCAGCUGAAACCUUUCAC
Oreochromis niloticus (Nile tilapia) is the source of this 247-nucleotide long non-coding RNA. RefSeq lists it as uncharacterized. NCBI's taxonomy places the organism in Eukaryota, Metazoa, Chordata, Actinopteri, Cichliformes, Cichlidae. The record is from RefSeq and is a predicted model, not a curated record. The transcript has 3 exons.